AGUGAACGCUGGCGGCAGGCCUAACACAUGCAAGUCGAACGAGUGGCGGACGGGUGAGUAAAGUCUGGGAAACAGCCGGAUGGAGGGGGAUAACUACGGGAAACGGUAGCUAAUACCGCAUACCAUCGGAGGUGCCCAGAUGGGAUUAGCUAGUAGGUGGGGUAACGGCUCACCUAGGCGACGAUCCCUAGCUGUUCUGAGAGGAUGACCAGCCACACUGGAACUGAGACACGGUCCAGACUCCUACGGUAGUCAGCAGUUGGGAUUAUUUCACAAUGGGCGCAAGCCUGAUGCAGCCAUGCCGCGUUUAUGAAGAACGCCUUCUGUUUGUAAAGUACUUUCAGUUUGGAGGCGUUGCCCGCAGAAGAAGCACCGGCUAACUCCGUGCCAGCAGCCGCGGUAAUUC
RNAcentral lists this ribosomal RNA (406 nucleotides) under uncultured bacterium. RNAcentral's name for it is "partial 16S ribosomal RNA". It matches the Rfam family "Bacterial small subunit ribosomal RNA", at positions 29 to 526 of the family's 1533-position model. The record is from RNAcentral.